RNAcentral lists this ribosomal RNA (253 nucleotides) under uncultured bacterium. RNAcentral's name for it is "partial 16S ribosomal RNA". It matches the Rfam family "Bacterial small subunit ribosomal RNA", at positions 524 to 776 of the family's 1533-position model. The record is from RNAcentral.
UACAGAGGGUGCAAGCGUUAAUCGGAAUUAUUGGGCGUAAAGAGCUCGUAGGCGGUUUGUCGCGUCUGUCGUGAAAGCCCACGGCUUAACCGUGGGUCUGCGGUGGAUACGGGCAGACUAGAGGCAGGUAGGGGAGAAUGGAAUUCCCGGUGUAGCGGUGAAAUGCGCAGAUAUCGGGAGGAACACCGGUGGCGAAGGCGGUUCUCUGGGCCUGUACUGACGCUGAGGAGCGAAAGCGUGGGGAGCGAACAGG